Molecule: ribosomal RNA, 254 nt
Filed under: uncultured bacterium
Lineage: Bacteria
Description: partial 16S ribosomal RNA
Rfam family: Bacterial small subunit ribosomal RNA
Source: RNAcentral
UACGAAGGGGGCUAGCGUUGUUCGGAUUUACUGGGCGUAAAGCGCACGUAGGCGGAUCGUUAAGUCGGGGGUGAAAUCCUGGAGCUCAACUCCAGAACUGCCUUCGAUACUGGCGAUCUUGAGUCCGGAAGAGGUGAGUGGAACUCCUAGUGUAGAGGUGGAAUUCGUAGAUAUUAGGAAGAACACCAGUGGGCGAAGGCGGCUCACUGGUCCGGUACUGACGCUGAGGUGCGAAAGCGUGGGGAGCAAACAGG